GAGUUUAUCUUGGCUCAGAUUGAACGCUGGCGGCAGGCCUAACACAUGCAAGUCGAGCGGAUGACGGGAGCUUGCUCCUUGAUUCAGCGGCGGACGGGUGAGUAAUGCCUAGGAAUCUGCCUGGUAGUGGGGGACAACGUUUCGAAAGGAACGCUAAUACCGCAUACGUCCUACGGGAGAAAGCAGGGGACCUUCGGGCCUUGCGCUAUCAGAUGAGCCUAGGUCGGAUUAGCUAGUUGGUGGGGUAAUGGCUCACCAAGGCGACGAUCCGUAACUGGUCUGAGAGGAUGAUCAGUCACACUGGAACUGAGACACGGUCCAGACUCCUACGGGAGGCAGCAGUGGGGAAUAUUGGACAAUGGGCGAAAGCCUGAUCCAGCCAUGCCGCGUGUGUGAAGAAGGUCUUCGGAUUGUAAAGCACUUUAAGUUGGGAGAAGGGCAGUAAGUUAAUACCUUGCUGUUUUGACGUUACCGACAGAAUAAGCACCGGCUAACUCUGUGCCAGCCGCCGCGU
RNAcentral lists this ribosomal RNA (514 nucleotides) under bacterium enrichment culture clone ALO1_GLFRUDD03HDVVE. RNAcentral describes it as "bacterial SSU rRNA". It matches the Rfam family "Bacterial small subunit ribosomal RNA", at positions 9 to 520 of the family's 1533-position model. The record is from RNAcentral.